GAGGUGAAGAUGCAGCGGGCGGAACCCGGUGGAGCUAGUGGGAUUCGGGGGCGCUAAAGUCGCAGGGACAGGGCGGGAAGGAAGAUCCGGAGCGGGGCAGAGGAUCCGGAGCUGGAGCCCCCAGGGGCACAGGCGCUGGGGACGCCUCCCUGCUUAUACCCGCCCGUGUCCUGCCCAGGACCCAUCAGAGGCUCCAGGGGUGCUCCGGGGGAUGCUGCCGUACUCCCUCUUCAUCCCGAAGGACGGGUUUGGGAAAGGCCUCCGACGGCUCGUGGGGCAGCUCCUGUGGGCAACAUCUUUGGGGGAGGCACGUUUGAGUCACACGAUUAACCUCAGACCCCGCAGGUUAACAGCCGCAGGUUUGCAUUUCUACGAAGGCUCCGGGAGACCCCUCACCCAUGACGUGACCAGGGUGGGGACGGCAGG
This 426-nucleotide long non-coding RNA is filed under the name Physeter macrocephalus (sperm whale). Its description in RNAcentral is "Physeter catodon (sperm whale) lncRNA (ENSPCTG00005000652.1)". Lineage: Eukaryota; Metazoa; Chordata; Mammalia; Artiodactyla; Physeteridae. The record is from RNAcentral.